Molecule: ribosomal RNA, 254 nt
Filed under: uncultured bacterium
Lineage: Bacteria
Description: partial 16S ribosomal RNA
Rfam family: Bacterial small subunit ribosomal RNA
Source: RNAcentral
UACGUAGGCAGCGAGCGUUGUUCGGAAUUACUGGGCGUAAAGAGUGUGUAGGCGGUGCUCUAAGUUCGGUGUGAAAUCUCCCGCUUACUGGGAGGGUGCGCCGGAAACUGGAGUGCUCGAGCGUGGGAGAGGAAAGGCGGAAGUUCCUGGUGUAGCGGUGAAAAUGCGUAGAUAUCAGGAGGAACACCUGCGGUGUAGACGGCUUUCUGGACCAUUGCUGACGCUGAGACACGAAAGCGUGGGUAGCAAACAGG